GUUCACCUUUAUUUAUUGUGAUUUAAAUGUGUUGGUAGUAGUUAAGUGUUGAGUUAGAUUACAUACUGUAGCUACCUCAAUCAUUAUUUCAAAUCAUUUCGGUGACUUCACAGCAAUUACUAGCUAGACAAAAUGUUGUUAGCUAGCAGGCUCAGCUAAAUACAUAUAUAUCCCCUACACACAUACAUGUCUCAUAGCUGUAUUGUAACAAUACGAAUUUAAUGGAGUUUCCCAUCUUCCCGUUUAGAGUUUCUUGUGCAGCACAGAAAUGCCCUUAUCUAGAUGGUGUGACAAACAACCUUUCCUAACAGACCUGCUAACUUUGUUGUUCAUUUAGGUUGGAACCAACACCCAGUAACACCCAAGAACCGUUUUCCUGCCAGCUCAGGGACAAGCUGGACUAUUCACAGCCCUGUGUAAUGGUCAAUGUAACUGCACUGCUGGACUGUUUGAAAUGUCAUGUAUUUGUAUUGUUUUAAAAAUGUACAAAUAAAAUAAAUGUACUGUAUGGUUUAAACAUUUCUUUAAUGUUUUCUUGUUUUAUCAUUUAAUGCCAAUUCCCUAAGUGUUAAUACAGUUGUGUUAACAUCAUUAAGCCAUUAUGCAUGUGUUAGGAAUGACCAAAGGUGUCUGACCUUAUAUUAAGUACAGCAUCAUAUGAUAUAAGGCAUUUAUGCAUGUGUUAGGAAUGACCAAAGGUGUCUGACCUUAUAUUAAGUACAGCAUCAUAUGAUAUAAG
Oncorhynchus tshawytscha (Chinook salmon) is the source of this 739-nucleotide long non-coding RNA. The record is from Ensembl. NCBI's taxonomy places the organism in Eukaryota, Metazoa, Chordata, Actinopteri, Salmoniformes, Salmonidae.